UACAGAGGUCUCAAGCGUUGUUCGGAUUCAUUGGGCGUAAAGGGCGCGUAGGCGGCCAGGCAAGUCGGGUGUGAAAGCUUGGGGCUUAACCCCGAAAGGGCACUCGAAACUGCCCUGCUAGAGGGCCGGAGAGGAGAUCGGAAUUCACGGUGUAGCAGUGAAAUGCGUAGAGCUCGUGAGGAAGACCGGUGGCGAAGGCGGAUCUCUGGACGGCCCCUGACGCUGAGGCGCGAAGGCUAGGGGAGCAAACGGG
This 253-nucleotide ribosomal RNA is filed under the name uncultured bacterium. RNAcentral's name for it is "partial 16S ribosomal RNA". It matches the Rfam family "Bacterial small subunit ribosomal RNA", at positions 524 to 776 of the family's 1533-position model. The record is from RNAcentral.